This 1521-nucleotide long non-coding RNA is filed under the name Nicotiana benthamiana. Its description in RNAcentral is "long non-coding RNA (NBEN_LNC006179)". The record is from RNAcentral. Lineage: Eukaryota; Viridiplantae; Streptophyta; Magnoliopsida; Solanales; Solanaceae.
AGUAUUCUCACUGACAAUAUUUUUGAGUGAACCAAGAUCAGUUGUUAAUAGAGCUGUUAACUCACCAACCUACAAGAAGAAAGCUAAAUGAAUUAGUAGGUAGACAUAGGAAGAUAAGUAAACAGAGACACCAAGCAUAUGAGUCUUAUGUAGACAGCCAAACUUGGAAGGCCUAUGGAAGAGCGAGACCAAAUAUACACUGAGUCCUCCACCCUCCUCAACAGCAUCCACACAGGUCAUAAUAUCAUCUACUCAGGGUUAUAUGAUCUCUCUUAUAGCUGAAAAACCUAAUUCAAAGUUAACAUAGGAAGGUCAGUAAACAGAGAUACCAAGCAUAUGUAGACAGCCAAACUUGGAAGGCCUAAGGAAGAGCGAGACCAAAUAUACACCGAGUAGUCCACCCUCCUCAACAGCAUCCACGCAGGUCAUAAUAUCAUCUAAUCAGGGUUAUAUGAUCUCUCUUACAGCUGAAAAAACUAAUUCAAAGUUGCAAACUGACAGUGCUCACAGGCUGCCUCAGAAAUUAUAACACAUACUUGCAUCGAGUACGUUCUACGAGACAUUUAGAAGCUUUAAGCAACCAAAAUGGCAACACGAAACCUUCUAGAUGCAGUAUACUAAUAACAUAAGAACUUCUAGUUUUUUGCAAAAAUAUUGUACAAAAUAACGAAGUCUUUGUUUUUCCCCUUGUUUUCGAAGAAUGUUCUUUUUUUUUUCUUUGAUAAGUUUGUUCGAAGAAGGUUCUUAAGCAACUGGAACAUUUGUAUAUACAUGAAAUGAAAAAUACAGAAAGAAGUACAUAGAGACGCUCAAAUGGAGACUAAUCAAAAACCAGUACAGCCACAGGUGUAAAAAAUUUUCCAGAACAAACGGGCACUUUGCUUCCUUAAUAAUAGAGGAGUCUUCCUUGAAUAAAACUGGGAAAAUGUACAGCAACAUAUAUGAAAGGUAGUGCUCUCAAAAUCUGCAAUUAUUUAGACCAAGAUGGCCAAAAUGAAGGGACCUAAAAAGCAAGCAGUUUUAACCAGCACAUCCUUAGACCUUAGUACAAUUAAAAGUAAAAUCUCUUUGGAAUUCACACAAGCACGCAAGGGCAUGUACGAGCUUGUUAUGACGGAAAAUACAGCAUAACAAAUGAAGUAGCAUACCUUGUAACGGUCAAAAAACUCAACCUGCAAAGAGAAAGAAAGGUAAAGCAUUAAAAAGGACGUGCUGAAUGAGUUCACACAGAAAAUCUUGGCAAACAUUUCCAAAGCAGAUGAAGCCAAAAGGCAAUAUAUAUGUUCUUGUACAUCAAUAACUAUUCAAAAAUCAGUUGACUGAUCUUUUUUGACAGGAAAAUCAGUUAAUUGAUCUUUCCCAUGCUACAAUAAAUCUUGGCAAACAUUUCGAAAGCAGUUGAAGUCAAAAGCAACAUACGUCUUCCUGUGGGUCAAUAACAAACAACAACAACAACAACAACUACCCAGUAUAGUCCCAAAGGGUGGGGUCUGGGGAGGAUAAUAUGUACGCAGGCCUUAC